Molecule: non-coding RNA, 89 nt
Filed under: unclassified sequences
Source: RNAcentral
UAAUAUCAGCCGCCGGGUUGAGAAUGUAAAAAGCAUUCGCGUGCACAUCAUCAGGCCUUUGAAGAUGUGUUUGCGGGUGCUUUUUGUUA